CCCGGGUCUUGUACACACCGCCCGUCACACCAUGGGAGCGGGAUGUACCAGAAGUAGGUAGCUUAACCGCAAGGGGGGCGCUUACCACGGUAGGAUUCGUGACUGGGGUG
RNAcentral lists this ribosomal RNA (110 nucleotides) under uncultured bacterium. RNAcentral's name for it is "partial 16S ribosomal RNA". It matches the Rfam family "Bacterial small subunit ribosomal RNA", at positions 1373 to 1482 of the family's 1533-position model. The record is from RNAcentral.